This 253-nucleotide ribosomal RNA is filed under the name uncultured bacterium. RNAcentral describes it as "partial 16S ribosomal RNA". It matches the Rfam family "Bacterial small subunit ribosomal RNA", at positions 524 to 776 of the family's 1533-position model. The record is from RNAcentral.
UACGAGGGGGGCAAGCGUUGUUCGGAAUUAUUGGGCGUAAAGGGCGCGUAGGCGGUGCGGUAAGUCUGAUGUGAAAUCUCCGGGCUCAACUCGGAGUCUGCAUCAGAAACUGCCGUGCUCGAGUGUGGGAGAGGUGAGUGGAAUUCCCGGUGUAGCGGUGAAGUGCGUAGAUAUCGGGAGGAACACCUGUGGCGAAAGCGGCUCACUGGACCACAACUGACGCUCAUGCACGACAGCGUGGGGAUCAAACAGG